GGGCGGAUCCAGGCCACUGCCCACCGGACCAGGAGGCCACGCGCGCUUGGCUGCUCCAAUUCCCCAUCCAGCUCGGCAGCUCCAAUUCCCCAAUUCCAGCAGUCCUGCUCGAUUUGAUUUCUUCAUUCAGUCAGGGGUAGUCGAGUCUGGUAGUGGUAUUUCCUUUCAAAAAUGAAGAAGUCAAAGUCGAUUGAUCUGAAAUCAACAUGGGAAAGGGCUGCUAAGACAUGCAGGGUAGAUUCCCCUUCCCCGUCCACAUCAAGACCACAACUAAUUAGCAUUCAGAGUCAGGUUCAAGCUCAAGUAACCCCUAAUAUUUUGUAAUCUCUCUUUGUUAUCAAAGACAUUUAGUUUGAACUAUAUAUGUAUCUUUUAUGUAAGAUCUUAUCGUUUA
Long non-coding RNA from Setaria italica (foxtail millet), 394 nucleotides. RefSeq lists it as uncharacterized. NCBI's taxonomy places the organism in Eukaryota, Viridiplantae, Streptophyta, Magnoliopsida, Poales, Poaceae. The record is from RefSeq and is a predicted model, not a curated record. The transcript has 2 exons.